CCUACGGGGGGCAGCAGUAGGGAAUAUUGCUCAAUGGGGGAAACCCUGAAGCAGCAACGCCGCGUGGAGGAUGAAGGUUUUCGGAUUGUAAACUCCUUUUGUUAGAGAAGAUAAUGACGGUAUCUAACGAAUAAGCACCGGCUAACUCCGUGCCAGCAGCCGCGGUAAUACGGAGGGUGCAAGCGUUACUCGGAAUCACUGGGCGUAAAGAGCGCGUAGGCGGGAUAGCAAGUCAGAUGUGAAAGCCUACGGCUUAACCAUAGAACUGCAUUUGAAACUGUUAUUCUAGAGUAUGGGAGAGGUAGGUGGAAUUCGUGGUGUAGGGGUAAAAUCCGUAGAGAUCAAGAGGAAUACUCAUUGCGAAGGCGACCUGCUAGAACAUAACUGACGCUGAUGCGCGAAAGCGUGGGUAGCAAACAGGAUUAGAUACCCUUGUAGUC
Molecule: ribosomal RNA, 440 nt
Filed under: uncultured bacterium
Lineage: Bacteria
Description: partial 16S ribosomal RNA
Rfam family: Bacterial small subunit ribosomal RNA
Source: RNAcentral